RNAcentral lists this ribosomal RNA (460 nucleotides) under uncultured bacterium. RNAcentral describes it as "partial 16S ribosomal RNA". It matches the Rfam family "Bacterial small subunit ribosomal RNA", at positions 338 to 795 of the family's 1533-position model. The record is from RNAcentral.
CCUACGGGUGGCAGCAGUGAGGAAUAUUGGUCAAUGGCCGUAAGGCUGAACCAGCCAAGUCGCGUUAAUGAAGAAGGAUCUAUAGUUUGUAAACUUCUUUUAUAGGGGCAUCAAGGUAUCCACGUGUGGAUAUUUGCAUUUACCCUAUGAAUCAGCAUCGGCUAACUCCUUUCCAGCAGCCGCGGUCCUACGGAGGAUGCGAGCGUUAUCCGGAUUUAUUGUGUUUAAAGGGUGCGUAGGUUGUUUUUUAUGUCAGCGGUGAAAGUUUGUGUCUCAACCAUAAAAUUGCCGUUGAAACUGGAAGACGUGAGUGUGUUUGAGGUAGGCGGAAUGCGUGGUGUAGCGGUGAAAUGCAUAGAUAGCACGCAGAACUCCGAUUGCGAAGGCAGCUGACUAAGCCAUAACUGACACUGAAGCACGAAAGCGUGGGGAUCAAACAGGAUUAGAUACCCUGGUAGUC